UCAAUGGUUGUUUAAAAUCUAAUACAAAAAUGAAAAAUUGAAAAGAAUGAGUUAUAAUAGUUUGCAAGAGUGUGAUUAUACACACAAGGCUGUGAACGUGGAUGGGUUUUACUGGUUGGCGUGAUGUUUAAUGUCCCUGACAACAUCUGUAGUCCCGUUUAUUUAAGUAAAAAUCCAGAGUGAGGUAUUACUGAUGUAUUAUAUCUUGUAGAAUAAAACAUGAAAAUAUUUAUAAAAAUAAAACUUGUGUUUGGCGCAGACUUUAUUUCAAGCAUUUCAGCAAAAACCCAUUUAAAAAACCCACUGAUUUUGGGACGAUGGAAUGGGAAGUAAAUGCAAUUGAUAAUUUUUUUUUAGCCCUUUUUUGCCUCAGCUCCUGUGCUGCUGUACACUCUUAUCCCUGAAAUUGUUUUAAUUCAAACUACUUAGGUACAAUAAACAUAAACUCCAAAAUGUUUGCACAAUUACUCCAUGUUUUUAGUUUAUUGUACGAUUUGCAUGAUACUUUUUAUUCUAUUGAAGUGUUUAAAUUUAAUGUACUUAACUUAGCUUGUUUUAGUCUGUUGUCAAUGCAACGCAAUGCGAGGAAGAUGUUGAUUGGCUCUUUGAACUGACGUCAGACUCAGACAUGGAUGCAGCGCGCAUUUUCAUCAACGUUUGCUGAUUCAAGUUCAAACAAAGGCUAAUCAAGAUGAUCUGGAAAUAUUACUGAAUAUUUUGCCCACCUUCGGCGUAGACAUCUCAAAGACCACCAAAAAGUUCAAUGUCCAUUUCAAGGCUGUAGCUUUGAAAGCAGUGUAUAUUCCACGUUCAGUGCACACAAAAGUAAGCAUCACAUUUACAAUUAUCACAAUUAACAAAAAAUUAUGCUUGCAUACAACUAAACAAAAAAAUGUCCAAUAAAAUUAAUAUCUAGCAAAAAACUGUACACUGCUAAAAUGUAUUUUAGUAAUCUCCAAUCUCUUGUCCAGGCUUCUGAUGACUCGUACCAACAUGUGCCAGUUGGAAUCCUCAGCUUAGAAAAUGAAGAUGUGGCUCUGCAACCCCUGUCCAUCCACCUCCACCCAUCCUCGGUGGGAAUCAUCUUGGAGGGGAAUGUUGUAAUGGACAAUUUAGACAACAUACCCCAGGCCAUGUGUCUUCUUUUUGGUUUAACUUACGCACUGCACCUAGACUACCCAAAGUGCAUGGGCAACACCUUUCUUUUCAUUCAGCAAGUUUUGCUAGGUUUAGGCAAGAAGGAGUUGAAGGGCAAGAUUCUGGCUGUUACAAAUCAGCUUACCAUGUAAACAGGUACAGUAAAUGCAUGUUUCUUAUGGUUCUCUUUCAGAAUCGAACACUGUGCUUGUUAAAUAUUGGAAAAGUGAUUUUGAUAAGUGAAUUCAAAUAAAUUCUAAGUUCAAAUUAAUGAUUGUUACCCUUUGUCCUUAUUUGUAAUGCAG
This is a long non-coding RNA of Onychostoma macrolepis, 1442 nucleotides long. RefSeq lists it as uncharacterized. NCBI's taxonomy places the organism in Eukaryota, Metazoa, Chordata, Actinopteri, Cypriniformes, Cyprinidae. The transcript has 3 exons. The record is from RefSeq and is a predicted model, not a curated record.